Molecule: long non-coding RNA, 336 nt
Filed under: Musa acuminata (dwarf banana)
Lineage: Eukaryota; Viridiplantae; Streptophyta; Magnoliopsida; Zingiberales; Musaceae
Description: long non-coding RNA (MACU_LNC001102)
Source: RNAcentral
UGGACGUCGAGAUGCUGAAGCCCUCCGCCGUGAACUGGCUGCCGGAGGCCUCGACGAGGGACGGUGCAGCGAUCGGCUUCGUGAAGUCCAGGGUCAUGCUCCGCGGAGGCGGAGGGAUCGGGGGCUGAGGCGGCUUGGCCGGGGUGAGGGCGACGGCCCGCGGCGCUGGCUCCACUGCCGGGGCGAGGCUCGGGCCGCGACGGAAUCGGGCGUGGCCGGUGCGGUCGAGGAUAGAGAUGACCUUCUUGAACUUGGAGACGGUGAGAUCAGUGAUCUCGCGGCAGUCGAGCUGCGGCGACUGUUGGUGAUGGUGGGAGAGUUGGGAGAGAAGGUGCU